RNAcentral lists this ribosomal RNA (252 nucleotides) under uncultured prokaryote. RNAcentral's name for it is "partial 16S ribosomal RNA". It matches the Rfam family "Bacterial small subunit ribosomal RNA", at positions 524 to 776 of the family's 1533-position model. The record is from RNAcentral.
CACGUAGGGGGCGAGCGUUGUUCGGAAUCAUUGGGCGUAAAGGGCGCGCAGGCGGCGAGGCAAGUCCGGUGUGAAAGUGCUCGGCUCAACCGAGUGAUGCGCUGGAAACUGCCCUGCUUGAGUACAGGAGGGGGCGUCGGAAUUCCAGGUGUAGGGGUGAAAUCUGUAGAGAUCUGGAAGAACACCGGUGGCGAAGGCGGACGUCUGGCCAUGUACUGACGCUGAGGCGCGAAGGUGCGGGGAGCGAACAGG